GACGAACGCUGGCGGCGCGCCUAACACAUGCAAGUCGAACGGAGCUUAAAGAGCUUGCUUUUUAAGCUUAGUGGCGAACGGGUGAGUAACGCGUGAGUAACCUGCCCUAGAGUGGGGGACAACAGUUGGAAACGACUGCUAAUACCGCAUAAGCCCACGGUACCGCAUGGUACUGAGGGAAAAGGAUUUAUUCGCUUUAGGAUGGACUCGCGUCCAAUUAGCUAGUUGGUGAGGUAACGGCCCACCAAGGCGACGAUUGGUAGCCGGACUGAGAGGUUGAACGGCCACAUUGGGACUGAGACACGGCCCAGACUCCUACGGGAGGCAGCAGUGGGGGAUAUUGCACAAUGGGGGAAACCCUGAUGCAGCGACGCCGCGUGGAGGAAGAAGGUUUUCGGAUUGUAAACUCCUGUCGUUAGGGACGAUAAUGACGGUACCUAACAAG
Molecule: ribosomal RNA, 445 nt
Filed under: uncultured bacterium
Lineage: Bacteria
Description: bacterial SSU rRNA
Rfam family: Bacterial small subunit ribosomal RNA
Source: RNAcentral